GAUCUAGACAAAACAAGUGCCACCGGUGGGCUUUGAAAAACGCUUUCCUUGAUAAAAUUUAAGCGUUUUAUAAGAGGAUGCCGGGGAAGGUUUUCCGGUUUAUCCCGGAGGGCUUGUAGCUCAGUUGGUUAGAGCGCGCGCUUGAUAAGCGUGAGGUCGGAGGUUCAAGUCCUCCCAGGCCCACCAGUUUAUCCAUUACUUUCAUAAGUGCUUUUAAAAAAUAAGUACUUCUAAAAAGAUUGCUUCUAAAAAGCUUAUCAAAAUUGGCAGGCUUAUUGCUUUUGUGUGAGUAAUCCAAAGUUAAAGCAAAUUAAUGGCAAAAAAACAGUUCAAAUGCUAAAUACUAAGGAGUCAAAAUUCCUUGCAAAGUGAUUUUUACAGCGUCCAUUUGGUUGAUAUAAAUUCCAAAUGCUCAUAGACGUCAGAUGCCUAUAUGAAACUAUCGGUUCAAUCAUUAUCGCUUUGAAGUGAUAUAGAUUUUGUAAUCCCU
RNAcentral lists this unclassified non-coding RNA (490 nucleotides) under Bartonella henselae. Its description in RNAcentral is "partial 16S-23S ribosomal RNA intergenic spacer". The stretch from base 110 to 183 matches the Rfam family "tRNA". Lineage: Bacteria; Pseudomonadati; Pseudomonadota; Alphaproteobacteria; Hyphomicrobiales; Bartonellaceae. The record is from RNAcentral.